Molecule: ribosomal RNA, 444 nt
Filed under: uncultured bacterium
Lineage: Bacteria
Description: partial 16S ribosomal RNA
Rfam family: Bacterial small subunit ribosomal RNA
Source: RNAcentral
CUACGGGUGGCACCAGUGGGGAAUAUUGCACAAUGGGCGAAAGCCUGAUGCAGCGACGCCGCGUGAGGGAUGACGGCCUUCGGGUUGUAAACCUCUUUCAGCAGGGAAGAAGCUUUUGUGACGGUACCUGCAGAAGAAGCACCGGCUAACUACGUGCCAGCAGCCGCGGUAAUACGUAGGGUGCGAGCGUUGUCCGGAAUUAUUGGGCGUAAAGAGCUUGUAGGCGGUUUGUCGCGUCUGCUGUGAAAAUUCAGGGCUUAACCCUGGACGUGCAGUGGGUACGGGCAGACUAGAGUAUGGUAGGGGAGACUGGAAUUCCUGGUGUAGCGGUGGAAUGCGCAGAUAUCAGGAGGAACACCGAUGGCGAAGGCAGGUCUCUGGGCCAUUACUGACGCUGAGAAGCGAAAGCAUGGGGAGCGAACAGGAUUAGAUACCCUGGUAGUC